AUGCACGCUGGCGGCGUGCCUAAUACAUGCCAGUCGAGCGAACGGACGAGAAGCUUGCUUCUCUGAUGUUAGCGGCGGACGGGUGAGUAACACGUGGAUAACCUACCUAUAAGACUGGGAUAACUUCGGGAAACCGGAGCUAAUACCGGAUAAUAUUUUGAACCGCAUGGUUCAAAAGUGAAAGACGGUCUUGCUGUCACUUAUAGAUGGAUCCGCGCUGCAUUAGCUAGUUGGUAAGGUAACGGCUUACCAAGGCAACGAUGCAUAGCCGACCUGAGAGGGUGAUCGGCCACACUGGAACUGAGACACGGUCCAGACUCCUACGGGAGGCAGCAGUAGGGAAUCUUCCGCAAUGGGCGAAAGCCUGACGGAGCAACGCCGCGUGAGUGAUGAAGGUCUUCGGAUCGUAAAACUCUGUUAUUAGGGAAGAACAUAUGUGUAAGUAACUGUGCACAUCUUGACGGUACCUAAUCAGAAAGCCACGGCUAACUACGU
This 495-nucleotide ribosomal RNA is filed under the name uncultured bacterium. RNAcentral describes it as "partial 16S ribosomal RNA". It matches the Rfam family "Bacterial small subunit ribosomal RNA", at positions 29 to 506 of the family's 1533-position model. The record is from RNAcentral.